Molecule: long non-coding RNA, 1280 nt
Filed under: Felis catus (domestic cat)
Lineage: Eukaryota; Metazoa; Chordata; Mammalia; Carnivora; Felidae
Description: lncRNA (ENSFCAG00000050507.1)
Source: RNAcentral
CGUCCGACUUCGCCUCAGGCCGUGAUCUCCCGGCUUGUGAGUUCGAGCCCCGCGUCGGGCUCUGUGCUGACAGCUCAGAGCCUGGAGCCUGCUUCGGAUUCUGUGUCUCCCUCUCUCUCUUCCCCUCCCCUGCUCGCUCUCUCUCUCUUUCAGAAAAUACACAAACAUUAAAAAAUCAAAAAAAGAAAGAAAGAAAACCGUACUUACUGAGCACCUGGCCAACGCACCAGGCUCUGACUCCAGUCUCUGACGCCUCGUGACCUAAAAAGUAAUUGAAAAGGCAAAAUUCAGUUGAUAGAUUGCCUUCUGUUUCCAUGAUACUGGACAUCCCGCCUGAUUCUUAUUUCCUGAACCGAAUAAGCACUCUUAACUCCUGGAACGAUGGUACCAGCAGCCCACGAAGGGAUGUGAGGAUGAGACCAUCCUACGGUUCUAGGUCCGAGACCCAUCUCCUAGUCUGGGAGGUUUGGGGUACAGGUUUGGGGACAGGAAGUUGGUCGUUACGUGGCUGUGGUUCGGGACAGCUGCACAGCUCUGUGGUCUGGGGCUUCUCUUGUUAGACCGUGGCCCCCAGGCAGAGCCCGUGUUGGUCACGGCGGGGUGGGGGAGGGUCCAGUAGCAGUGACCUUCAGCCUCAAUGGCUCACGUCCACUAAGUGUCAUUGCUCUCUCCCGCUGUGCGUCCACUGCAGUGGAGGCUCCACGUUGCACCAGGCUGACGGCUCCAGUCUACCCACCCCUCCACCAUCACUGCAGCAGAGAGAAGGCGAUUCUGGACGGUCUUGUGCCAGCUCGUAAGGGCUCCCACCCCGAGAUGACCCACAUCCCUCCUCCUGACAGCUCAGUGGCUCCAACAACCAGAAGGCGGUGGGGGUGGGGGGGGCAGGAAACGCACCCCUGCUGGUACCCAUAUGGUGAGAAGGGACGCAUUGGAUGAGUGGCAACAAUGCCCACCACACCCCUUCUCUGAGCCCCACGCCUCCUCCCCCCAGCCCUGCCCGCUCUCCAUCACCACCCCCACCUGGAGCAGGAUCCUUGGUGGGUGCGUGGGAGAGAGACAGACAGGGACGGAGACAGAGAUACACGGAGCCAGAGACAAUGCGAUCCUCAGCUCGUCCCUCGAGAAACAAAUGGGUCUUUGACACUCAUAACCCAUUACCAAGGACGCCAUCCAGGCAGCCUCUGCUCCCCGUGACUGGCAGGUGGCGGCCCAGACAGGAAAGGGAACAAGUUGGCACCUGCCUUUUGCACCGCACGGCGUCGGCCUUGGGGCCUGCGUGA